ACCAAACAACAGGAGCACACCCCGCCGCGAGGAUUCGAACCGCCGACCUUUCGAUCGGCAAGCCCUAGGCACUGAGGCUUUUACCCACAGCACCACCCACGUCCCAUGAAAACCCUAAGUACAGUACACCAUAUGACAGAGCUUUUAGCAGGGAUGUUAGUCUCCUUUAUUUUUAAAAGUGGAAAUGCUUCUAGUCCUGGACAGUUUACACAUGUAGGCUUCAAAAUGAAUGCUGAAAGUAUUUCUCAGUGCUGGGAAAUCAAAUAUCAGGCAGUAGCCUCCAGAGUGCUUCAGUGCAGUACUGUACUAGGAAGCCUGUGCAGAUGGUUCUGUAACAGUAGUUCAUCCAGCACAGAAAUUCAAGUCUAGAGUAUGGCUUAUGUUACUCUUCCCAUCACCGCUGUUGUUCACUCCUUUUGCACAGCUUUUUUUUUAAUGGGAUAUUUUCCAAUGCAACUAGGAAAAGAAGCUGCAGAAAACCAAGGCAGACAACUUUCUCAAGGAAUUACAAUUUGCAAAGGAAAACACAAUUCAGACAAUAUGGUCCAGAUGAGGAUGUCUCCCUGCCACAUCUUAAUCCAUCUUAAAAAUGGAAGAUCGGAGGUGAAAGAUAGUGACUUCAAACACUGUGAUUUAGCUGCAAUGAACAACCUAAGGCUUCCGCACUCCAUGUUUCCCACAUGCUUACAAACUGGACUGCACUGACUGAAUUGAUGAAUUAAUCAGAUAUUGGUAUGGCAGCACAGUAGCCAAUGACAACCUCCUUACUUUAGUGCAAUUAACCUCACCUUUACCCGUAAUGCAUCCAUCUUUUGAAUAUGCUUGCAGUAUCAUGAAAUAAUAAUUCAAGAAAAUAGUAUGUACUGUACUUAUUCAGCAUUUAAACUUGGGAGACUGGUGCCAGCUUAGUCCCAAGAUCAUAUUCUUCAGUGAUAUUAGGAUGUUCUGAGGCUUUGCAAGCCCAGACAGGAAUUCGUCAUCUAUUUACACUUCCCUGGUAAUGGCAUAAUCCUAAUCAGCUAGUGAGGUGAAUUCAUUUGCAUCCCAACAAAAAACGGAAGUUGCACAACAUGACCUCUUCCUAGUCACCUAAGUGACCUGUCACUUAGAGGGCUGAAUGUAGCUGAGAGGCCUAAGCACGUUUACUUGGGAUAAACAGCAAAUAGUUUGACAGUUUAGAUCUUCCAUCUGUUAAAAAAGAGAAUAUGCUCCUUUUCCCCACCCCUCUUGUUUUGUUUUCGAGGAGUCCUAUGUUUCAAGGCGAUAUUCUAAAUAACCUUUUGAAAUACCUGUUGUUGUUGAAAAAGAAAUCUAUGAACGGUAUAAUCUUUAC
This 1333-nucleotide long non-coding RNA is filed under the name Podarcis muralis (Common wall lizard). RNAcentral's name for it is "lncRNA (ENSPMRG00000007488.1)". Lineage: Eukaryota; Metazoa; Chordata; Lepidosauria; Squamata; Lacertidae. The record is from RNAcentral.